RNAcentral lists this small RNA (241 nucleotides) under Pongo abelii (Sumatran orangutan). Lineage: Eukaryota; Metazoa; Chordata; Mammalia; Primates; Hominidae. The record is from RNAcentral.
GCCGGGCGUGGUGGCUCACACCUGCAAUCCCAGCACUUUGGGAGGCUGAAGCGGGUGAUCGCUUGAGGUCAGGAGUUUGAGUCCAGCCUGGCCAACAUGGUGAAACCCCAUCUCUACUAAAAAUACAAAAAUUAGGCUGAUCAUGGGUGUAAUCCCAGCACUUUGGGAAGCCGAGGUGGGCAGAUCACCUAAGGUCAAGAGUUCGAGACCAGUCUGACCAACAUGGUGAAACCCCGUCUCU